This 158-nucleotide ribosomal RNA is filed under the name Apenidiella strumelloidea. Its description in RNAcentral is "5.8S ribosomal RNA". It matches the Rfam family "5.8S ribosomal RNA". Rfam says of the family: 5.8S ribosomal RNA (5.8S rRNA) is a component of the large subunit of the eukaryotic ribosome. It is transcribed by RNA polymerase I as part of the 45S precursor that also contains 18S and 28S rRNA. Functionally, it is thought that 5.8S rRNA may be involved in ribosome translocation. Lineage: Eukaryota; Fungi; Ascomycota; Dothideomycetes; Mycosphaerellales; Teratosphaeriaceae. RNAcentral also lists the same sequence under 1 other name. The record is from RNAcentral.
CAACUUUCAACAACGGAUCUCUUGGCUCUGGCAUCGAUGAAGAACGCAGCGAAAUGCGAUAAGUAAUGUGAAUUGCAGAAUUCCGUGAAUCAUCGAAUCUUUGAACGCACAUUGCGCCCCUCGGUAUUCCGGGGGGCAUGCCUGUUCGAGCGUCAUUA